This 1837-nucleotide long non-coding RNA is filed under the name Homo sapiens (human). The record is from RNAcentral. Lineage: Eukaryota; Metazoa; Chordata; Mammalia; Primates; Hominidae.
CCACUUAGAAUGUGCCAGGCAAUUGGCAUUAAUUCACCGAAUCCUUACAAUUUUUUUUUUUCGCGCUCCUGGCACAGAACAUGUCAUCCAAGUUAGGCAUCAUCGUCGCCUGCUCUUGGUGAAGUUUUCUUUUGCGUACUGCGGAGAGAUGCGCUCAUUACCAGCUGGCGGUGGAGUCGCUGAAACGCAAAUGGAUUUGAGACUGAGCGACUCCCAUCUCUAUGGUUGGUAUGUGACCCAUCUAUCCUCUGGAGGACUCAGCAAGGACUACCAGUCACCAGACAACUUUACGCGCACGUGGUCGCAAGGUGAACUUGCUAUUGGUUAAUGGCAGUAAAGCCCGCCCAUCAGCGCUGGUCUGCUCCUUUAAAAGAACGCCAUCGACGCUCCCCUGUCUUUCAGCGCCUGCAGGUUCCGGGAGGUCAGGUUGUAUUCCUGGCGGGUCGUCUGGCUGGGUGGGCCCCGGAGGUCGUGGCUCGGGAGCAGGGAGGCGUAGGGGGGCCGGCCUGCUGUGAUGACAUUCCAAUUAAAGCACGUGUUAGACUGCUGACGCGGGUGAUGCGAACUGGAGUCUGAGCCUGCCCGAGCGGAGCUGGGAGGGGGCUGGCGGGCGGGCGCGCGCACACCCGCUGAUCUAUCACUCUCGUUCUUGUAGCUCCCAGCCGAGGACGUCGGAUGUCAUCGUCCUUGCUGCUUUGCCACCCCAUUCCCGUCAAUAAAGUGGUUUGAACCCAACCCUGGUGUCGGUGUGUGUCGUUGGCGACGCGCUGUCUUUGAGCCCCCGCCGAGCUUCCUCGUGGCGCCGGGGGUCAAUCUGCAGCGCUAGAGCAUGUGCUUGCGCAUAACUGGGGCCGCCUGGCCUCCCGCGGGCGGCCUUUUUAACCGCGAGCGACAAGAAGUAACCUGACUGUCCGGCUGCUAGGCUGGGCAAUUUUCCAGCUGUUUUGCCACGACAGGCCUCAAUCCGUAAUACCAAGGCUGGAAUGGCGUGUUAGGGGGGCGGUGGCUGACGGGGAUACGCGGACUCUUGAUGCGUAAGGAGUGCCCCUCUGCUCCCAUACGUUCCCCAGCCCAGCCUUCCCUGAGUGUAUCGCGCGCGCUGUGCCUUCGCCGUGAGUUCGACAUAAGUCCCAGGCUGUCGCGUCUGCCAUCAGACGCGCAGAUUUAGUUGAAGGCAGCGUGGAAUGGCGUCUGCAGGGCUGUUGUGUACUUGACAUAAACAGAUUCGGUGUGGAACUGCAUUGAGUUAACUCCUGACUAAAGGGUAAUCGACCUGUUUACAAAUAACCAUGCAGGAGUACUGACAAGCAUGGGACUAAAGCUUUGGGCAGGUUAAUCUGUCACUCCUAAACAGUUCAAAAUUAUAGGGCGGUUGUGAAGGUGAAUUAGAUUUUAUAUAUGGUUGGGGACAACAUAGACACCUAGUUACACAGUCCAGAUUCAGUGAUUGGUAAAAGAUCUUCCACAAGGGCUCCAGUGAAAGGUGCAUCAGUUCUGAGUACAGGGCAGCAAUGGUGGGCAAGGAUGCACGUAUGCGUUCACUACAUGGACAUUCGAUGAAUGAAGGUGUCCCGAAUUAACAUUAUACUAGACAAUGAAGGGUGUAAACUGCAGCCCAGGAGCACCACUGCCCUACCCCCUCAGUUACGAACUUUCACUGGAUUCUUUAAAUGUGGGCUGAAGAUAAUGGCACAUAGUUUGAAGGAUGUAGUGAGGAUGGCUUUGUAGCCUUAGGACUGGGCAGUGAUCAACGCAGUAAAUGAAAGCUGCGAUUGCCAGGUGAGGGCCCCGGUGCUCUGUACUCAUUUUAUUGUGCCCCUAUCUGAACAGGAUUCCG